This 1199-nucleotide ribosomal RNA is filed under the name bacterium. RNAcentral's name for it is "bacterial SSU rRNA". It matches the Rfam family "Bacterial small subunit ribosomal RNA", at positions 85 to 1297 of the family's 1533-position model. The record is from RNAcentral.
CAGGUGAUUAGUGGCGAACGGGUGAGUAACACGUGAGUAACCUGCCCCUGACUCUGGGAUAAGCCCGGGAAACUGGGUCUAAUACUGGAUAUGCACCGUAGGCCGCAUGGCUUUUGGUGGAAAGAUUUUUUGGUCAGGGAUGGACUCGCGGCCUAUCAGCUUGUUGGUGAGGUAAUGGCUCACCAAGGCGACGACGGGUAGCCGGCCUGAGAGGGUGACCGGCCACACUGGGACUGAGACACGGCCCAGACUCCUACGGGAGGCAGCAGUGGGGAAUAUUGCACAAUGGGCGAAAGCCUGAUGCAGCGACGCCGCGUGAGGGAUGACGGCCUUCGGGUUGUAAACCUCUUUCAGUAGGGAAGAAGCGAAAGUGACGGUACCUGCAGAAGAAGCGCCGGCUAACUACGUGCCAGCAGCCGCGGUAAUACGUAGGGCGCAAGCGUUAUCCGGAAUUAUUGGGCGUAAAGAGCUCGUAGGCGGUUUGUCGCGUCUGCCGUGAAAGUCCGAGGCUCAACCUCGGAUCUGCGGUGGGUACGGGCAGACUAGAGUGAUGUAGGGGAGACUGGAAUUCCUGGUGUAGCGGUGAAAUGCGCAGAUAUCAGGAGGAACACCGAUGGCGAAGGCAGGUCUCUGGGCAUUAACUGACGCUGAGGAGCGAAAGCAUGGGGAGCGAACAGGAUUAGAUACCCUGGUAGUCCAUGCCGUAAACGUUGGGCACUAGGUGUGGGGGACAUUCCACGUUUUCCGCGCCGUAGCUAACGCAUUAAGUGCCCCGCCUGGGGAGUACGGCCGCAAGGCUAAAACUCAAAGGAAUUGACGGGGGCCCGCACAAGCGGCGGAGCAUGCGGAUUAAUUCGAUGCAACGCGAAGAACCUUACCAAGGCUUGACAUGUGCCAGACCGCCGUGGAAACACGGUUUCCCCUUUGGGGCUGGUUCACAGGUGGUGCAUGGUUGUCGUCAGCUCGUGUCCUGAAAUGUUGGGUUAAGUCCCGCAACGAGCGCAACCCUCGUUCUAUGUUGCCAGCGGAUUAUGCCGGGGACUCAUAGGAGACUGCCGGGGUCAACUCGGAGGAAGGUGGGGACGACGUCAAUCAUCAUGCCCCUUAUGUCUUGGGCUUCACGCAUGCUACAAUGGCCGGUACAAUGGGUUGCGAUACUGUGAGGUGGAGCUAUCCCCAAAAACCGGUUCCAUUUCGAA